UUUCUAUCACUUGAAUCUGGGACUGUAUCAUCCACAAUUUCUGAAGAUGCAUUAACCCUUGGAAAGAACCUGGCCGGAUGGCAGUCAGCUUACACUUCUGUCCCAUGGCUCUGGAGAAACCUGUGGCUGUAGUGUUAGAUGUUACUGCUCCCACCCCUCUAUCACUUCCCUCUGCCAACACCUGCACUCCUGAACAUCAGCUUCAUACUCACAAGGUCACUUAUCGCUUCAGAGGUGCUGAACAGGAUGUAUGGAGAAACACUCUAACCACUAUAAUUCAAGUUCGCUUGCAAAAGUCCAACUGCAGUAAAACUACAUUCAAAAG
Long non-coding RNA from Vidua macroura (Pin-tailed whydah), 325 nucleotides. RefSeq lists it as uncharacterized. The transcript has 3 exons. The record is from RefSeq and is a predicted model, not a curated record. Lineage: Eukaryota; Metazoa; Chordata; Aves; Passeriformes; Viduidae.